UACGUAGGGUGCAAGCGUUAAUCGGAAUUACUGGGCGUAAAGCGUGCGUAGGCGGCGUUUCAAGACAGAUGUGAAAUCCCCGGGCUCAACCUGGGAACUGCAUUUGUGACUGCAUCGCUGGAGUGCGGCAGAGGGGGAUGGAAUUCCGCGUGUAGCAGUGAAAUGCGUAGAUAUGCGGAGGAACACCGAUGGCGGAGGCAAUCCCCUGGGCCUGCACUGACGCUCAUGCACGAAAGCGUGGGGAGCAAACAGG
This 253-nucleotide ribosomal RNA is filed under the name uncultured bacterium. RNAcentral describes it as "partial 16S ribosomal RNA". It matches the Rfam family "Bacterial small subunit ribosomal RNA", at positions 524 to 776 of the family's 1533-position model. The record is from RNAcentral.